GGGGAUGUAGCUCAUUUGGUAGAGUGUUAAUCAAUGAAUAAUUAAAUGAUAAAAGGCAUGGGUUCAACUCCUCGCAUCUCCA
RNAcentral lists this transfer RNA (82 nucleotides) under Zea mays. It matches the Rfam family "tRNA". From Rfam's summary of the family: Transfer RNA (tRNA) molecules are approximately 80 nucleotides in length. Their secondary structure includes four short double-helical elements and three loops (D, anti-codon, and T loops). Further hydrogen bonds mediate the characteristic L-shaped molecular structure. tRNAs have two regions of fundamental functional importance: the anti-codon, which is responsible for specific mRNA codon recognition, and the 3' end, to which the tRNAs corresponding amino acid is attached (by aminoacyl-tRNA synthetases). tRNAs cope with the degeneracy of the genetic code in two manners: having more than one tRNA (with a specific anti-codon) for a particular amino acid; and 'wobble' base-pairing, i.e. permitting non-standard base-pairing at the 3rd anti-codon position. Lineage: Eukaryota; Viridiplantae; Streptophyta; Magnoliopsida; Poales; Poaceae. The record is from Rfam by way of RNAcentral.